This 96-nucleotide ribosomal RNA is filed under the name uncultured bacterium. RNAcentral's name for it is "partial 16S ribosomal RNA". It matches the Rfam family "Bacterial small subunit ribosomal RNA", at positions 395 to 508 of the family's 1533-position model. The record is from RNAcentral.
UGCCGCGUGGAUGAAGAAGGUCUUCGGAUUGUAAAGUCCUUUCGACGGGGACGAUGAUGACGGUACCCGUAGAAGAAGCCCUGGCUAACUUCGUGC